CAACUCGUAACGGGGAUGUCUCGGCUCCUGCAUCGAUGAANAACGCAGC
Molecule: ribosomal RNA, 49 nt
Filed under: Agarophyton chilense
Lineage: Eukaryota; Rhodophyta; Florideophyceae; Gracilariales; Gracilariaceae
Description: partial 5.8S ribosomal RNA
Source: RNAcentral